GUCAAUGUGGAGGCUAUAUACAGGGUGUUACGGUACAGAGUCAAUGUGGAGGCUAUAUACAGGGGGUACCGGUACAGAGUCAAUGUGGAGGCUAUAUACAGGGGGUACCAGUACAGAGUCAAUGUGGAGGCUAUAUACAGGGGGUACCAGUACAGAGUCAAUGUGGAGGCUAUAUACAGGGGGAACCGGUACAGAGUCAAUGUGGAGGCUAUAUACAGGGGGAACCAGUACAGAGUCAAUGUGGAGGCUAUAUACAGGGGGUACCAGUACAGAGUCAAUGUGGAGGCUAUAUACAGGGGGAACCGGUACAGAGUCAAUGUGGAGGCUAUAUACAGGGGGUACCGGUACAGAGUCAAUGUG
RNAcentral lists this long non-coding RNA (360 nucleotides) under Salmo salar (Atlantic salmon). RNAcentral describes it as "lncRNA (ENSSSAG00000104599.1)". Lineage: Eukaryota; Metazoa; Chordata; Actinopteri; Salmoniformes; Salmonidae. The record is from RNAcentral.